UAAGCNCCNGCUAACUACGUGCCAGCAGCCGCGGUAAUACGUAGGGUGCAAGCGUUAAUNGGAAUUACUGGGCGUAAAGCGUGCGCAGGCGGUUUGGAAAGAAAGAUGUGAAAUCCCAGAGCUUAACUUUGGAACUGCAUUUUUAACUGCCAAGCUAGAGUAUGUCAGAGGGGGGUAGAAUUCCACGUGUAGCAGUGAAAUGCGUAGAGAUGUGGAGGAAUACCGAUGGCGAAGGCAGCCCCCUGGGAUAAUACUGACGCUCAUGCACGAAAGCGUGGGGCGCAAACAGGAUUGGAUACCCUGGUAGUCCACGCCCUAAACGAUGUCAACUAGCUGUUGGGGCCUUCGGGCCUUAGUAGCGCAGCUAACGCGUGAAGUUGACCGCCUGGGGAGUACGGUCGCAAGAUUAAAACUCAAAGGAAUUGACGGGGACCCGCACAAGCGGUGGAUGAUGUGGAUUAAUUCGAUGCAACGCGAAAAACCUUACCUACCCUUGACAUGUCUGGAAUCCUUAAGAGAUUAGGGAGUGCUCGCAAGAGAACCGGAACACAGGUGCUGCAUGGCUGUCGUCAGCUCGUGUCGUGAGAUGUUGGGUUAAGUCCCGCAACGAGCGCAACCCUUGUCAUUAGUUGCUACGAAAGGGCACUCUAAUGAGACUGCCGGUGACAAACCGGAGGAAGGUGGGGAUGACGUCAAGUCCUCAUGGCCCUUAUGGGUAGGGCUUCACACGUCAUACAAUGGUCGGGACAGAGGGUCGCCAACCCGCAAGGGGGAGCCAAUCCCAGAAACCCGAUCGUAGUCCGGAUCGCAGUCUGCAACUCGACUGCGUGAAGUCGGAAUCGCUAGUAAUCGCGGAUCAGAAUGUCGCGGUGAAUACGUUCC
This 882-nucleotide ribosomal RNA is filed under the name uncultured bacterium. RNAcentral describes it as "bacterial SSU rRNA". It matches the Rfam family "Bacterial small subunit ribosomal RNA", at positions 487 to 1374 of the family's 1533-position model. The record is from RNAcentral.